UGGAGAAAAGCAGGGGAUCGCAAGACCUUGCGCUUUUGGAGUGGCCGAUGCCUGAUUAGCUAGUUGGUAGGGUAAUGGCUUACCAAGGCGACGAUCAGUAGUUGGUCUGAGAGGACGACCAGCCACACUGGGACUGAGACACGGCCCAGACUCCUACGGGAGGCAGCAGUGGGGAAUUUUGGACAAUGGGCGAAAGCCUGAUCCAGCAAUGCCGCGUGAGUGAAGAAGGCCUUCGGGUUGUAAAGCUCUUUCAGUCGAGAAGAAAAGGUUGUGACUAAUAAUCACAACUCAUGACGGUAUCGACAGAAGAAGCACCGGCUAACUACGUGCCAGCAGCCGCGGUAAUACAUAGGGUGCGAGCGUUAAUCGGAAUUACUGGGCGUAAAGGGUGCGCAGGCGGCUUUGUAAGUCAGAUGUGA
RNAcentral lists this ribosomal RNA (419 nucleotides) under uncultured ammonia-oxidizing beta proteobacterium. Its description in RNAcentral is "bacterial SSU rRNA". It matches the Rfam family "Bacterial small subunit ribosomal RNA", at positions 197 to 597 of the family's 1533-position model. Lineage: Bacteria; Pseudomonadati; Pseudomonadota; Betaproteobacteria. The record is from RNAcentral.